UUGCCUCAGUAACUGCGAGUGAAGCGGCAAAAGCUCAAAUUUGAAAUCUGGCACCUUUGGGUGUCCGAGUUGUAAUUUGGAGAGGCAACUUCGAAGGAGGCGCUGGCCUAAGUUCCUUGGAACAGGACGUCACAGAGGGUGAGAAUCCCGUGCUUGGCUGGCUGUCCUUCUUCAUGUGAAGUGUCUUCGACGAGUCGAGUUGUUUGGGAAUGCAGCUCAAAAUGGGUGGUAAACUCCAUCUAAGGCUAAAUAUUGGCGAGAGACCGAUAGCGCACAAGUAGAGUGAUCGAAAGAUGAAAAGCACUUUGAAAAGAGAGUUAAAAAGUACGUGAAAUUGUUGAAAGGGAAGCGCUUGAGACCAGACUCGGUGAUUGGUGAUCAGCGGUUGCUUUUGCUCCGUGCACUUGCCUUUUACUGGGCCAGCAUCAGUUGGGACGGCGGGAUAAAGAUCUGGGGAAUGUGGCUCUCUUCGGGGAGUGUUAUAGCCCCAGGUGUAAUGCCGCCUGUUGCGACUGAGGACCGCGCUUCGGCUAGGAUGCUGGCAUAAUGGUCUUCAGCGACCCGUCUUGAAACACGGACCAAGGAGUCUAACAUCUAUGCGAGUGUUCGGGUGUAAAACCGCUACGCGGAAUGAAAGUGAACGGAGGUGGGAACUCCUUGGAGUGCACCAUCGACCGAUCCUGAUGUCUUCGGAUGGAUUUGAGUAGGAGCAUAGCUGUUGGGACCCGAAAGAUGGUGAACUAUGCCUGAAUAGGGUGAAGCCAGAGGAAACUCUGGUGGAGGCUCGCAGCGGUUCUGACGUGCAAAUCGAUCGUCAAAUUUGGGUAUAGGG
This 832-nucleotide ribosomal RNA is filed under the name Galiella rufa. RNAcentral's name for it is "LSU rRNA". It matches the Rfam family "Eukaryotic large subunit ribosomal RNA", at positions 75 to 922 of the family's 3401-position model. The record is from RNAcentral. Lineage: Eukaryota; Fungi; Ascomycota; Pezizomycetes; Pezizales; Sarcosomataceae.